GGAUGUAAGGUGACCUGGCUGCAACAUCUGUCAUCCCAUUAAUUGUCAGGGCUAAUGUGGCUCAUCUGGCUGGCUACGCGGGUGUACCCUUCCUCCCUCACUGCUCUAUGAGCGCCCUUCCUGAACUUGAAGGGGGUGACUGUCCCUGAAUACAGGAGCACAGUCUUCAGUCAAGAGUAUAUGAGUAGCUGUGUUUCCCUGCUGGAACUUCCAAACAAGCUCUCAUUAAAAAAAAAAAAANNNNNNNNNNNN
This 252-nucleotide small nuclear RNA is filed under the name Jaculus jaculus (lesser Egyptian jerboa). Its description in RNAcentral is "7SK RNA (ENSJJAG00000001847.1)". It matches the Rfam family "7SK RNA", at positions 1 to 270 of the family's 331-position model. From Rfam's summary of the family: 7SK was discovered as an abundant small nuclear RNA in the mid-70s but a possible function has only recently been suggested. Two independent studies have found that 7SK RNA binds the CDK9/cyclin T complex (known as elongation factor P-TEFb). P-TEFb activates transcription by phosphorylating the C-terminal domain of RNA polymerase II. Lineage: Eukaryota; Metazoa; Chordata; Mammalia; Rodentia; Dipodidae. The record is from RNAcentral.